Molecule: ribosomal RNA, 704 nt
Filed under: uncultured beta proteobacterium
Lineage: Bacteria; Pseudomonadati; Pseudomonadota; Betaproteobacteria
Description: bacterial SSU rRNA
Rfam family: Bacterial small subunit ribosomal RNA
Source: RNAcentral
UCGAGCGGCAGCGCGGGGCAACCUGGCGGCGAGCGGCGAACGGGUGAGUAAUGCAUCGGAACAUGUCCAUGUCGUGGGGGAUAGCCCGGCGAAAGCCGGAUUAAUACCGCAUACGCCCGAGAGGGGAAAGUGGGGGACCGCAAGGCCUCACGCGAUUGGGUUGGCCGAUGUCCGAUUAGCUAGUUGGCGGGGUAAGAGCCCACCAAGGCGAUGAUCGGUAGCUGGUCUGAGAGGAUGAUCAGCCACACUGGGACUGAGACACGGCCCAGACUCCUACGGGAGGCAGCAGUGGGGAAUUUUGGACAAUGGGGGCAACCCUGAUCCAGCCAUUCCGCGUGAGUGAAGAAGGCCUUCGGGUUGUAAAGCUCUUUUGUCCGGAACGAAACGGUGCUCGUGAAUAUCGAGCGCUACUGACGGUACCGGAAGAAUAAGCACCGGCUAACUACGUGCCAGCAGCCGCGGUAAUACGUAGGGUGCGAGCGUUAAUCGGAAUUACUGGGCGUAAAGCGUGCGCAGGCGGUUUUGUAAGCCAGAUGUGAAAUCCCCGGGCUUAACCUGGGAAUGGCAUUUGGGACUGCAAGGCUGGAGUGCGGCAGAGGAGACUGGAAUUCCCGGUGUAGCAGUGAAAUGCGUAGAUAUCGGGAGGAACAUCAGUGGCGAAGGCGGCCCUCUGGUCCAGUACUGACACUCAAGUGCGAAAGCGU